AACAGAACUCUGGCAAGUAUUGUUCAGAUCUCAUUUCUGUCCACAUGUAGAAUCCUGACAAGUCAUAUGUGAAGCACUGGCCACCAAGAAAAGAAUUUCUACAGCUGCAGAACACUGGGUUCCAUUUUGGACAGUUGUGAGAAAGAUAUGCAUUUCUUUCAACAGAAGUCCAGAGGCACUGGAAAUAUUCUUACUAAAGAAAUGCCAAAAAUUGGUUAAGGAGACUGUGCUAUGAAGCUCACAGAAUGCCCAACUACAUAUGGGAUUAAAAGGCAUAUCAAGGAGAGUGGGGGAAAGGGAGAGAAAUCACCAACAGGUUGAAGCAUUCUUUGUACAAGAACACCUUCGGAAGAUUCUUUCCCAAUCCCACUUCUUGUACGAGGAAGCAACUGUAGCAAAAAGCCUGGAUUUGUGAGCUUCCAUAGAAACAGUUUUAGAGGCUAUGUUGCAUUAUUCAUUAAUGUUGUGGAUAACAACUUCAACCUCAGGACUGUUGAGCCAGCACUUUCAAGAGCAGUAAAUUCCCUGAGGGAGGGAAGGAGAAAAAUUGUCCCUACCCUGAGGUUUGAAAAAUAGUCUUCACUACAGGAAGAGUUUGCUGAGGGGUUGUGUCUAAUGAGAAGAAAUUAUCUGAGAGGAUAAUCACCCCCUGCAACAGUUUUGGAAACCUGAAGCUCCCUAGAAGACUGCUAUAGAGAUUUUUUUCGUAUUCUUCCAUCCCCUGACGGGCACCUGCUGAAUCUUUGUGAGAUCCUGAAAAGGGGAAUUGGUGCUGUGGAAACAUUAUUUCUUUCUUUCUUUUUCUACCUGAUAUGCCUAUGGGAAAAAGAGAAACAGUGUCUUCCUUAUGGACAAUAUCGUGUAUGCAAACCAGAACACAAAAUUUGAAAUGAGUAUUUAGAGAGGCAGUGAGAAACAAGACAGGAUUAAAACUCCCUAAACUCUUCUAUUCAGCUGAUAUCUUCAGCUUAUAUUGAUUAUAAAAUUUUGUGGUUUGUUUUGGGAGGGACAGCAAGAGAGGUUAACUAAUAUUUAUCUGUCCCAGUUAUUAGUCCUUAGGAGUAUAUAGUAUGUUCCAGUCUUCUCAGUCUUGCAAAAAUUUUCUUUUGAAUGACAGUAACAGUUUUGUUUCUUGUUAAUAAUGUUUUUACUGCACUUACGGUGAUUUGGCCGUGAUAUCCUCAGAGAUACCUUGUUUGAUGUUCUUGUUCAAAAUUUGUAACACAGGGCAUCUGAUAACUUUUGUGAAAGUUUUACUUUAAUAUAUUAAAAGAGAGAAAAAAUAAAUUCUCAGUUUUCAGGGCUAAGAAUUCA
RNAcentral lists this long non-coding RNA (1314 nucleotides) under Anas platyrhynchos platyrhynchos (common mallard). RNAcentral describes it as "lncRNA (ENSAPLG00000018749.1)". The record is from RNAcentral. Lineage: Eukaryota; Metazoa; Chordata; Aves; Anseriformes; Anatidae.